CCUUGGCCUCCGUGAGACAGAAAGAAAAGAUGUUCCUGAAAUUCUCCCUGCAGCUCCUUUGGAUUCAACUGGCCUGGCUGAGCGCAGAGGAGCUGCAGCAGAGUCCUGAGUUUCUAAGCAUCAAGGAGGGGAAAGAUGUCACCAUGCACUGCAACUCCUCAAGUGUUUUCCCCACUAUUCAGUGGUACAGACAGAAGCCCGGGGGAGGCCCUGUCUUCUUGAUGGCGUUGGUCAAGGGUGGAGAAGUGAAGGAACAGAGGAGCAUGAGGGCUCAGUUUGGUGAAGAAAGAAAGAGCAGCUCCCUGCGCAUCACCACGGCCCAGCCUGGGGACUCAGGGACCUACAUCUGUGCAGGUGCACGGUGCGUGGGAGGCACCUGAUGCCUACGCCCAAACCACGGAAGGCCCCAGGCACACUGCUCUUUUGUCUUCUAUUUUUCCUCGCUCUCUUCUUGGCAUUUGUGAUAACAACUAUGGCUCCUCAUAAAGCCUUUUCUACUGAAUUUCCAGAAAACAUUGGUUACACACUAGACAACUACAAGACAAAUCUGUGAAGACCUGGCCUAUUGUUAGUGUCGGUAGCAAUAUGGACAUACAGAGACUUGGGGUGGAGCUGAAGUCCAUAUGGACCAGUGGAUGAUACCAGACAGAGAAUUGUGAUUCUGAUUGUUCAUUUCGUUUUCCUAAAGACCACCCAGGGAUGGUUAGUACAA
This is a non-coding RNA of Fukomys damarensis (Damara mole-rat), 712 nucleotides long. The record is from the annotation of a RefSeq genome assembly. Lineage: Eukaryota; Metazoa; Chordata; Mammalia; Rodentia; Bathyergidae.